Long non-coding RNA from Canis lupus familiaris (dog), 470 nucleotides. RefSeq lists it as uncharacterized. Lineage: Eukaryota; Metazoa; Chordata; Mammalia; Carnivora; Canidae. The transcript has 3 exons. The record is from RefSeq and is a predicted model, not a curated record.
AGAAGAAGGGGAGGAGAGCGAUCUCUUUCUCCAAGGGCAUGCACCGAGGAACUUGAGAGGUCAUAUGAAGAUAUAGCAAGAAGGCAGCCACCCCCAAGUCAGGAAGACAGUUCUCAUCAGAAACGAAACUGGCCAGGGACGCCUGGGUGGCUCAGCGGUUGAGCAUCCGCCUUCAGCUCAGAAAAGAGACCAAGUGAAGACCGUUCUCCAAAAAGAGAGUCAUCAUAUAUGUGAGAUGCUACCAGCAGUUUGGAUAAGCUGAGGACUGAGAAUUGGCAGUUGGAUUUGGCAACAAAGAGGUCAUCAGGUGAUGAGAGCAGUUUCAGUGGAAUGGUGGGGACAGAAAUCCGACUGGAGUGAAUUCAAGCCUUAGUUCAUUGUCACCUCAUGGCUACAAGAUGGCAGUGUCACCUCCAGCAUUGCAUCAGCAUUCCAAGCAGAAAAAAAAAGAUAAGGACAGAGGACAAAGG